AUCUUGUAAAUAUAUACAUGUAUAUUUGACUUCCAAUCAAAAAGACUAAUAAAUCUUAGACAAGAUA
RNAcentral lists this transfer RNA (67 nucleotides) under Petrobius brevistylis. Its description in RNAcentral is "tRNA-Gly". Lineage: Eukaryota; Metazoa; Arthropoda; Insecta; Archaeognatha; Machilidae. The record is from RNAcentral.